Molecule: ribosomal RNA, 212 nt
Filed under: Pterostichus illigeri
Lineage: Eukaryota; Metazoa; Arthropoda; Insecta; Coleoptera; Carabidae
Description: partial 28S ribosomal RNA
Rfam family: Eukaryotic large subunit ribosomal RNA
Source: RNAcentral
GGACCAAGGAGUCUAGCAUGUGCGCGAGUCAUGGGGACUCUGUUAAAACCUAAAGGCGUAAUGAAAGUGAAUAUUUGAUGUGUUCAAAAUUUAUUUUGAUCACUGAUAAAUUAAGGGAAGAUGGGUGACGGAUUUUAUGUCACCUCGCAUUCCCGGGGCGUCGCGUACUUAUUGCAAGUUGCGGCGCACCUAGAGCGUACACGCUGGGACCC